Long non-coding RNA from Siniperca chuatsi (mandarin fish), 951 nucleotides. RefSeq lists it as uncharacterized. The transcript is spliced from 3 exons. The record is from RefSeq and is a predicted model, not a curated record. NCBI's taxonomy places the organism in Eukaryota, Metazoa, Chordata, Actinopteri, Centrarchiformes, Sinipercidae.
CAGCUGUACGGUGAAACCCCAUUUUAAUUACUCACAUGAGAGAUCGCAUCAGUGUGAAAUGUUUGAAACCUGACUCGAGUCCUGUAAAUUUAAAGCUUCUGUCUUUUACGCACAGGAGUGGAAACAAACGAAGAAAACGAUUAUAUCAAAUCAAUCCGCCCAGAUUUGUGAAUGAAUUAUACAGAUGCAGUUGAUUUGUAUCCCUCUAUCCGCCGUAGUGAGGUUUGUCUCGUUUAGUGGCUGAGAGGCAGGCGUCAAACUCCCCCUCCGGGCCUUUCCUGAUUAUAAAACCAACGCGUCCAUUGAGCUCCAAUGGGAACUUGGAACAACAGGUAGGCGUCCUCUGGCUGCGUCACUCGGCUCAGACUGUGGCGCUUUUCGGCGAAGCAAGUGACCGGACCACGAGCUCUCUUGGAAAUCAGACCUGAAAUAAAACUUCGCCCAGUGGUUCCUCAUUAGUCUGAAACUGUUUCUUUUGAGAGUAGACGAGCUGUUUCCUCGCGCCGUCUGGGCUCUUUUGGUGGGAAACGCUACAGACACACACACAAACACACACACUGAAAGGUUUUCUGAUUGGUUAAUUGGAGGGGACAUCUCAAUGUGGACGCAACGUUGACGAUUCUGGAUGUCUGUUUAUACCCACCGUCCUUGUAAAUCUGCCACAUCGUCCUCGCUGUUAAACUUCCUCUGGGAUAAAGAGAGGACACGCUGAGACACAGCUGAUCCGAAGAGGUCAGACGCUCUCUGAACCAGAUCCCCUGCAGGAGGACAUGGAGGUCCUGCGGCGGUCUUCUGUGUUUGCCGCAGAGGUCCUAGAUGUGUUUGACUGGUCGUUGACUGAGAAGGAGCUGGUGUCCCAGUCUAAAGCCUUGUGCAGAGACUACAUACUGUCCAGACUCAACCAGAAUGGACUGGGAUGGUCCAAAACCGAACUCAACCUCUCUCCCUCAA